This 426-nucleotide ribosomal RNA is filed under the name uncultured bacterium. RNAcentral's name for it is "partial 16S ribosomal RNA". It matches the Rfam family "Bacterial small subunit ribosomal RNA", at positions 354 to 796 of the family's 1533-position model. The record is from RNAcentral.
GUGAGGAAUUUUCCGCAAUGGGCGAAAGCCUGACGGAGCAAUGCCGCGUGAAGGAUGAAGGCCUAUGGGUUGUAAACUUCUUUUCUCAGAAAAGAAUUAUGACGGUAUCUGAGGAAUAAGCAUCGGCUAACUCUGUGCCAGCAGCCGCGGUAAGACAGAGGAUGCAAGCGUUAUCCGGAAUGAUUGGGCGUAAAGCGUCUGUAGGUUGUUUAAAAAGUAUUCUGUCAAAGAUUAGGGCUUAACCCUAGAUAGGCAGAAUAAACUUUUAAGCUAGAGUUUGGUAGAGGCAGAAGGAAUUCCCGGUGGAGCGGUGAAAUGCGUAGAUAUCGGGAGGAACACCAAAGGCGAAGGCACUCUGCUGGGCCAAUACUAACACUGAGAGACGAAAGCGAGGGGAGCAAAUGGGAUUAGAUACCCUAGUAGUCC